GAUGAACGCUAGCGAUAGGCUUAACACAUGCAAGUCGAGGGGCAGCACAAGGUAGCUUGCUAUCUGGGUGGCGACCGGCGCACGGGUGCGUAACGCGUAUGCAACUUGCCCUAUACAGGAGGAUAACCCGUCGAAAGACGGACUAAUACUGCGUAUGCUCACAACUUGGCAUCAAGUGGUGAGGAAAGAAAUUCGGUAUAGGAUAGGCAUGCGUCCCAUUAGCUUGUUGGUGAGGUAACGGCUCACCAAGGCAACAAUGGGUAGGGGAACUGAGAGGUUUAUCCCCCACACUGGUACUGAGACACGGACCAGACUCCUACGGGAGGCAGCAGUGAGGAAUAUUGGUCAAUGGGCGCGAGCCUGAACCAGCCAAGUCGCGUGAAGGAUGACUGUCUUAUGGAUUGUAAACUUCUUUUAUACGGGAAUAACAAGAGUCACGUGUGACUCCCUGCAUGUACCGUAUGAAUAAGCAUCGGCUAACUCCGU
Molecule: ribosomal RNA, 486 nt
Filed under: uncultured bacterium
Lineage: Bacteria
Description: partial 16S ribosomal RNA
Rfam family: Bacterial small subunit ribosomal RNA
Source: RNAcentral